RNAcentral lists this ribosomal RNA (320 nucleotides) under uncultured eukaryote. RNAcentral describes it as "partial 18S ribosomal RNA". It matches the Rfam family "Eukaryotic small subunit ribosomal RNA", at positions 1470 to 1796 of the family's 1831-position model. The record is from RNAcentral.
CCCCUAGAUGUUCUGGGCCGCACGCGCGCUACACUGAACAGUUCAACAAGUCUUAACCUUGGCCGACAGGCCCGGGCAAUCUUUGAACGCUGGUCGUGAUGGGGAUAGACUUUUGCAAUUUUUGGUCUUCAACGAGGAAUUCCUAGUAAACGCAAGUCAUCAACUUGCAUUGAUUACGUCCCUGCCCUUUGUACACACCGCCCGUCGCACCUACCGAUUGAAUGGUCCGGUGAAAUCUCGGGACGGCGGCUUGGUCGCUUGCGUCCGACUGCUGAAACUUGAUUAAACCAUAUCAUUUAGAGGAAGGUGAAGUCGUAACA